Brassica napus (rape) is the source of this 1455-nucleotide long non-coding RNA. RefSeq lists it as uncharacterized. NCBI's taxonomy places the organism in Eukaryota, Viridiplantae, Streptophyta, Magnoliopsida, Brassicales, Brassicaceae. The transcript has 2 exons. The record is from RefSeq and is a predicted model, not a curated record.
UUUUAACAUCUACUCUAUUUAUACACUCUUUGCCAAGAAAAGUCUCAGUUUAAUAUCCCUCUAUUAUUUUUAUUUUGACCAGAGUUAAAUCUUCCAUAUAUGUUGAUAUUACUUCCUUAAGGAAAAAUAUUUCAGAGUUAAUUGAAUUUAAUGCAAGAUCUGAAUGGAGAAGUCAAUAUUGUUGGAUUCUUUACCAAAAAAAUUAAUGUUAGAAAAGUUAAAAUCACAGUGAUGGAGUAUAUUAUUAUAAAUAUAUAAAUAAAAAUUGAUUUUUUUUGCUCAAUAUAUAUAUUAUAACUUGAUUGUUGGAUUCUUUCCCAAAAAAAUUAAUGCAGGAUCUUUACUUUUCUUAAAUCACUCUACUUUUUUUUUUAAAUCACUCUACUUUCCACUAAAUAUUUAAAUACUCUUUUAUUUUUUCGUGCAAAAGUUCAAUUUCUAUGAAUUUUUCAAAGAAAGUGCUUUACUUUCUUAUUUUGUAAAUGUACAUCUUUUUUUUUCUCAACACAUGUAUAUCUAUUUAACAAUUGUAAUUAGUAAUUACACAGAGAUUUGAUUAUUGCAUGUUAUUGUUUGUAUCAUUGAAUUCAGCUUAGACUAAAAAACCUUUACAAAAAUAUAUGGAUAAAAUGUAAACAAUGCAAAAAGACAACAAAUCUAAGCAGAGCCACCAGCCCUUGGACCAAGCCAAUGAAACACAUGCUUCCGGCCAAUAUAUUUAAGAAACUAUUCCGGCCACAAAUUUUUGAAAAGACUGUCUUAGUCUAGUGGUAUUAACUCUAGAAAUUAGACUUUGUUUUACCAAUCUGGUUCAACUCUCCUAUACAACAUAUUUUUUCUCUAUUUUUUUAAGAAAGCGGCCACAUUUUUUUGUGUGCUUCCAGUCUUAUUAAACCUAAUAGAUUCUUAGAGCAAGCUCAAUGGUUAGAACCUAUUAUGAAUUCUAAUGAAUAAUUUAAUAGUUAAUUUUGUGAUUUAAGGAGUUUAGAACCUUUCUUAGAGUAAUUAAUUUUUUUUGGGUCCAAUGGGAGAAUCUCUUUGGGGUUUUUAAUUUUUUUUAAUAGAAGUUGAAUGAUUGGAUUUUGUUUUUGAAUGAUUAAAUUUAAUAACAUAAAAAAGCAUACAUAAGAAGUUUAAAUAAAAAUGACAUCAUCGUAGGAGAAAAUGGGGUGAUCUAGAUUGGAGGAGGAAAGAGAGAGACAUAAAUGGGAGGUCGAAUAAGAACGUGACACAAUAUGCCUUAAGAGACACUGAUGGAGGUGGUCUUAAAUAUGGGCUUUAGAUACCAGAAUUUAAAAACAAUGUAGGGGCGCCGAAACAGUUAGAGGUCUCAUAGUGUAGUGGUUCAUGAACUCUUCUUCUCGCCCUUCAAGCGACAGGUUCGAAACCUACUUUCCUUUUCCCUUAAAUCUUGCCUUUUAUAAUUAUGAUAGUAAAUGCAACAAGAUCAAGAUA